This 69-nucleotide transfer RNA is filed under the name Marmota monax (woodchuck). RNAcentral's name for it is "tRNA.Ser". The record is from RNAcentral. Lineage: Eukaryota; Metazoa; Chordata; Mammalia; Rodentia; Sciuridae.
GGUAUGUAAGUCAGUUGGUAGAGUGCUUGCGUCGAAUGCACAAAGUCCUGGGUUCAAUCCCUAGCACCA